CACGCCCGGUUCACGCAGGUAGACGUCGAGGAGGAGGAGGAGGAGUAAUUUAUAGACUUCAGUGCUGUCUCCAAAGACCAGCCUUUUUUCUCAAAAACUUGCUGAUGGAGACAUAAGUGGUGCAAGUGGUCUGCCUUGAUAUACAAUUGCAGUUUCUACAUGAUGUGGACUUCUCCUCUAUCAGUGACACAGUCAUGAAGUAACUUGAUGUGUGAAGCCUGCCACCCUCUGGUUUC
This is a long non-coding RNA of Solea senegalensis (Senegalese sole), 236 nucleotides long. RefSeq lists it as uncharacterized. Lineage: Eukaryota; Metazoa; Chordata; Actinopteri; Pleuronectiformes; Soleidae. The transcript is spliced from 3 exons. The record is from RefSeq and is a predicted model, not a curated record.